GCUCCAGCUGGGAAAAGGACAGAGCUUCUAGAGAGAAGCCCGGAGGCGGUCAGAGAUGGACCUCAGCAGGGGCUGCACUUUUCAAAGCUGCUUUUCCUCUUUGGAGGAGAAAGAGGAGGAUCAGAGGGUUGAAGUUCCCUCUUAGCACUUCUAACACCUACUUUGGACUUUAUCACUACCAAAUCAAGACUAUAAUGUGCAGUUGGCAGUCAUCUCACAGGACUACAUGAAUGGUUUUGGUGAGAUUUCUUCUGUCUCAAUUUCUGCAUGUAAAUUGAAAACUAUAAAGCACAUGGGUUAGAAUGAACAAAGGCUUGGAAUAGAUGCAUCCCCUUCCAUUUGGAGCCCUGAAUAAAAGUCAUGGCUUAGAAGAAGGAAUGGCAGAGAAGAGGGAGAGAAGGAGAGAAGAUAAACAGAAUUAAUGGGCAUAGUCUCAUUUUACAAUUAAAUAAAG
RNAcentral lists this long non-coding RNA (454 nucleotides) under Homo sapiens (human). RNAcentral's name for it is "HSALNT0111616". Lineage: Eukaryota; Metazoa; Chordata; Mammalia; Primates; Hominidae. The record is from RNAcentral.